GCACCGGUUUUGACACUUCUCCGAGCUGUGGGACCCCUUUCCUACUCUCUUCUUAGUAGGCUGUGAAGACUUGACCAGAGACCGCUCAUAGUCCGAAAGUGCUAGCUUUUUCUGAGCUUCGCGUUGCUUCUUUUGAUGGUCCGCCACCUUGUGCCUCAGUUCCGAUGGCUUCACAUAAAAAUAUGGCUUUUCUGGGUUA
This 199-nucleotide long non-coding RNA is filed under the name Sorghum bicolor (sorghum). RNAcentral describes it as "long non-coding RNA (SBIC_LNC018709)". Lineage: Eukaryota; Viridiplantae; Streptophyta; Magnoliopsida; Poales; Poaceae. The record is from RNAcentral.